CAGAGACUGCGAACAACUGAGAGGAGCCAGGGGCCCUCCUGCCUCCCUACCAGUAGUUUCAGAGAAAUGGUAGACACCCCCAAAUUUCAUGUCUUGCACCUGAGGGAGGGUUGCGAUAGCAACUCACAGACCACUGCGGAACUUCAAGGUCGCUGCUGGGAAGGGUGGCGCACACCUGUACUCCCAGCAAUUGGGAGGCUGAGGCGGGAGGAUCACUGCGAGUUCAAGGGCAGCUUGGGCUACCUAGUGAAUUCAAGCCCAGCCUGAACUACAGAGCAAGACCCUGUUUCAAAAAACCAACAAUAAUUAAUUAAUUGUAUGAAGACCCUGGUUCGAUGUCAGCUGUGGAACCCAACGCACUGUCAUUACCCACUGCAGGCCAGGAGGGCCUGAGGCUUGUGUGCAGUUCCAGAUCUUGAGCCAACCCAAGAAACUGCUACCUAAACAUUCGUUCUUCAUGAUGUCAGUGAGACGGGGAAGAAGAAUUUUCUUCUCUCCCAAGGGAAGGGAGGACACAUCCUCAUCACCACCACAGACCAUGGCAUUAAUGAGCCAGACAGACAGCGCCGCUGAACACACAGACAAAUGCUGAGCGGAUGCCAAGAUAAGAUGAAAAAGCACCUGCCAGCAGCCAGAUCUUGGUUUUAUCAAAUCCAGGUGGGGCGCCCAGAGAAGGGCCAAACUGCUCCAGGGCCAGAGAGCAAAGGUUCAUGAAAUGACCUUGAAGAUCAAGGUGACAAUAUUUAUGGCUCUGAGCCGAACAGAAGUGCAGAUGCCUCAGAGCCCCGGGCCGCAGUUAAGGUGACGAGAUGCAGCAAUUCUUUAUGAACAUUUCAUUCCUGCUCGCUACACGACGUAAAUUAGAUGGUGUGUUACAUUCGGGCAAUAAGAGAGAUAUGUCACCACGACGCUGGCCCAUUGGAUGGAGAGGGUCGUCCUUCCGUCUGCGCAGCCUGAGCUCUCUCCUCCAAGGGCCAGGGAGACACGGGCAGAGCCCCAGCAGCGGAACUCUUCACUGCGCUCCUGCUGUCUGCUGCAGGCCCACAGCCUGGGGGCAGUUUGGAAGGCCGAGGCCAGCGGAGGCUGGGCCUGAGAGUGAGGCUCCGGACUGUGCCUGCUCCUGGGCCGGACCCAGAACUGUGCCCCUCAGGGGAGCAUCGCCUCUCCUUCUGGGGCUUUGCCCUCGAGGCCGAAGAUGCUGUGCUGGAG
RNAcentral lists this long non-coding RNA (1209 nucleotides) under Heterocephalus glaber (naked mole-rat). RNAcentral's name for it is "lncRNA (ENSHGLG00100049653.1)". The record is from RNAcentral. Lineage: Eukaryota; Metazoa; Chordata; Mammalia; Rodentia; Bathyergidae.